RNAcentral lists this transfer RNA (20 nucleotides) under Pritchardia waialealeana. RNAcentral describes it as "partial tRNA-Asp". Lineage: Eukaryota; Viridiplantae; Streptophyta; Magnoliopsida; Arecales; Arecaceae. The record is from RNAcentral.
UUGUGUUGUAACAGAAACAG